Molecule: ribosomal RNA, 303 nt
Filed under: uncultured bacterium
Lineage: Bacteria
Description: partial 16S ribosomal RNA
Rfam family: Bacterial small subunit ribosomal RNA
Source: RNAcentral
AGCAGUCGCCGCGGUAAUACAGAGGGUGCGAGCGUUAAUCGGAUUUACUGGGCGUAAAGCGUGCGCAGGCGGUUAUAUAAGACAGAUGUGAAAUCCCCGGGCUCAACCUGGGAACUGCAUUUGUGACUGUAUAGCUAGAGUACGGCAGAGGGGGAUGGAAUUCCGCGUGUAGCAGUGAAAUGCGUAGAUAUGCGGAGGAACACCGAUGGCGAAGGCAAUCCCCUGGGCCUGUACUGACGCUUAUGCACGAAAGCGUGGGGAGCAAACAGGAUUAGAUACCCGCGUAGUCCCUGUCUCUUAUAC